GAUGAACGCUGGCGGCGUGCCUAAUACAUGCAAGUCGAGCGAACAGACGAGGAGCUUGCUCCUCUGACGUUAGCGGCGGACGGGUGAGUAACACGUGGAUAACCUACCUAUAAGACUGGGAUAACUUCGGGAAACCGGAGCUAAUACCGGAUAAUAUAUUGAACCGCAUGGUUCAAUAGUGAAAGACGGUUUUGCUGUCACUUAUAGAUGGAUCCGCGCCGCAUUAGCUAGUUGGUAAGGUAACGGCUUACCAAGGCAACGAUGCGUAGCCGACCUGAGAGGGUGAUAGGCCACACUGGAACUGAGACACGGUCCAGACUCCUACGGGAGGCAGCAGUAGGGAAUCUUCCGCAAUGGGCGAAAGCCUGACGGAGCAACGCCGCGUGAGUGAUGAAGGUCUUCGGAUCGUAAAACUCUGUUAUGAGGGAAGAACAAAUGUGUAAGUAACUAUGCACGUCUUGACGGUACCUAAUCAGAAAGCCACGGCUAACUACGUG
Molecule: ribosomal RNA, 497 nt
Filed under: uncultured bacterium
Lineage: Bacteria
Description: partial 16S ribosomal RNA
Rfam family: Bacterial small subunit ribosomal RNA
Source: RNAcentral